CCCUGGAAGCCAGGUGUAAACUGACUUGUACACUUGCUGUUAAUUAUCUGUUUUGAACUUUUAUAUUAGGACUAUGCUUAAGGUCCUAUUACAAACAAUAAUGAGAAGCAGAAGCUUUAUAAGCACCUCUUUUGACUGAUACAGACUUUGUGCACUGUAGCAAUAAUCAAGUUGGCAAAUGAAACUGAAGAAUGAUGGAUCAUUCGAUUUUUUAUUUCCACAAAUUCUACAUUUAUUAAUUGUCAUGGUUGCCAUUAUAAUUAUCAUGUUAUGAUCAGUAACAUUAAUUUAGCGUACACUUUUACAUUUGCUGAUUGGUUAUGUUGGGUUGUGAGCUGGUUUAUGAGUUUGGCUAGCAGCCUGGGACAGCGAGACCCACUUGAAGAAUGGUUGUGACUUCAUUGAAUUUGUUGCCCUGUGGAAGACUGGAAGGAGGUCGCAUAGCACAAGCUAUGUUUGGAAGAAGCACAGCCACAUUGCUUUCUUUUGCAACAUCCCUCUUG
This is a long non-coding RNA of Hevea brasiliensis (rubber tree), 503 nucleotides long. RefSeq lists it as uncharacterized. Lineage: Eukaryota; Viridiplantae; Streptophyta; Magnoliopsida; Malpighiales; Euphorbiaceae. The record is from RefSeq and is a predicted model, not a curated record. The transcript is spliced from 2 exons.